GGUGUAUAAAAAAAGACAUAAAAUUAUGAUUAAUUUAAACGAGACACUGCUGUUAUACUGCAUGAAAAACGUGAAUAUAAAUUCAUAGUCAGCAGCAGAACUGAAGGGGUUAAAAAAACUGAACAACAAGCCCCAUGAACCUUCGCGCAUCCACGUGACUCAUGACUUCCGGCUGCGGCUGGCUGUGUGUUGUUAGCCGUAGCGAGUGUCGGUUGCCAGGGCAACGACUAUAAGGGAGGAGUGCCAUCACAGCGGUGCCAACAGUGGGAUGGAGUGGCAUUCACUGCUUCACUUCUCUUAAGCUCAUCUACAGGACAGAUAUGAUCAGGUGAUCUGAGAGGAGAGACGUCCGUCUGUCAGUACUGU
This 366-nucleotide long non-coding RNA is filed under the name Sinocyclocheilus grahami. RNAcentral describes it as "lncRNA (ENSSGRG00000032790.1)". Lineage: Eukaryota; Metazoa; Chordata; Actinopteri; Cypriniformes; Cyprinidae. The record is from RNAcentral.